RNAcentral lists this ribosomal RNA (578 nucleotides) under uncultured Alphaproteobacteria bacterium. Its description in RNAcentral is "bacterial SSU rRNA". It matches the Rfam family "Bacterial small subunit ribosomal RNA", at positions 320 to 916 of the family's 1533-position model. Lineage: Bacteria; Pseudomonadati; Pseudomonadota; Alphaproteobacteria. The record is from RNAcentral.
GGGAUCUCAGUCGAGAUUCCUACGGGAGGCAGCAGUGGGGAAUCUUAGACAAUGGGCGCAAGCCUGAUCUAGCCAUGCCGCGUGAGUGACGAAGGCCUUAGGGUCGUAAAGCUCUUUCGCCAGGGAUGAUAAUGACAGUACCUGGUAAAGAAACCCCGGCUAACUCCGUGCCAGCAGCCGCGGUAAUACGGAGGGGGUUAGCGUUGUUCGGAAUUACUGGGCGUAAAGCGCGCGUAGGCGGAUUAUUAAGUUAGGGGUGAAAUCCCGGGGCUCAACCCCGGAACUGCCUCUAAUACUGGUAGUCUUGAGUUCGAGAGAGGUGAGUGGAAUUCCGAGUGUAGAGGUGAAAUUCGUAGAUAUUCGGAGGAACACCAGUGGCGAAGGCGGCUCACUGGCUCGAUACUGACGCUGAGGUGCGAAAGUGUGGGGAGCAAACAGGAUUAGAUACCCUGGUAGUCCACACCGUAAACGAUGAAUGCCAGACGUCGGCAAGCAUGCUUGUCGGUGUCACACCUAACGGAUUAAGCAUUCCGCCUGGGGAGUACGGUCGCAAGAUUAAAACUCAAAGGAAUUGACGG